This 279-nucleotide unclassified non-coding RNA is filed under the name plant metagenome. RNAcentral's name for it is "partial contains small subunit ribosomal RNA, internal transcribed spacer 1, and 5.8S ribosomal RNA". The record is from RNAcentral.
UUUCCGUAGGUGAACCUGCGGAAGGAUCAUUACUGAGUGAGGGCCUUUUAGCUCCCACCUCCCACCCGUGUUCAUUGAACCUUGUUGCUUAGGUGAGCCCGCUUCACUUUAGCCGGUGGGCUUCUGCUUACAGGCUCGUGCUCGCCGACGACACCCUUGAACUCUGUCUGUAGUUUGCAGUUUGUUCGUAAACUAAGUAUUUUAAAAUUUUCAACAACGAACCUUUUUGUUCCGGCAUCGAUGAAGAACUCAACAGAUCGGAUGAGCUACUCUCCGAAA